GACGAACCGUGCAAACGUUAUUCGGAAUCACUGGGCAUAAAGGGCGCGUAGGCGGCUUUCUAAGUCAGGGGUGAAAUCCGGCAGCUCAACUGUCGCAGUGCCUUUGAUACAGGAGAGCUCGAGGGAGGUAGGGGUCUGUGGAACUUCCGGUGGAGCGGUGAAAUGCGUUGAUAUCGGAAGGAACGCCGGUGGCGAAAGCGACGGACUGGAUCUCUUCUGACGCUGAGGCGCGAAAGCCAGGGGAGCAAACGGG
RNAcentral lists this ribosomal RNA (253 nucleotides) under uncultured bacterium. Its description in RNAcentral is "partial 16S ribosomal RNA". It matches the Rfam family "Bacterial small subunit ribosomal RNA", at positions 524 to 776 of the family's 1533-position model. The record is from RNAcentral.